UGGGGAAUAUUGCACAAUGGACGAAAGUCUGAUGCAGCAACGCCGCGUGCGGGAUGACGGCCUUCGGGUUGUAAACCGCUUUCAGUGCCGACGAAGCGAAAGUGACGGUAGGCGCAGAAGAAGGACCGGCCAACUACGUGCCAGCAGCCGCGGUGAUACGUAGGGUCCAAGCGUUGUCCGGAAUUAUUGGGCGUAAAGGGCUUGUAGGCGGUCUGCUGCGUCGGGAGUGAAAACUCAGGGCUUAACCCUGAGCCUGCUUCCGAUACGGGCAGACUAGAGGAAUGCAGGGGAGAAUGGAAUACCUGGUGGAGCGGUGGAAUGCGCAGAUAUCAGGUGGAACACCAGUGGCGAAGGCGGUUCUCUGGGCAUUUCCUGACGCUGAGAAGCGAAAGCGUGGGGAGCAAACAGG
This 409-nucleotide ribosomal RNA is filed under the name uncultured bacterium. RNAcentral's name for it is "bacterial SSU rRNA". It matches the Rfam family "Bacterial small subunit ribosomal RNA", at positions 355 to 776 of the family's 1533-position model. The record is from RNAcentral.